AGAGUUUGAUCAUGGCUCAGAUUGAACGCUGGCGGCAGGCCUAACACAUGCAAGUCGAACGGUAACAGGAAGCAGCUUGCUGCUUUGCUGACGAGUGGCGGACGGGUGAGUAAUGUCUGGGAAACUGCCUGAUGGAGGGGGAUAACUACUGGAAACGGUGGCUAAUACCGCAUAACGUCGCAAGACCAAAGAGGGGGACCUUCGGGCCUCUUGCCAUCAGAUGUGCCCAGAUGGGAUUAGCUUGUUGGUGAGGUAACGGCUCACCAAGGCGACGAUCCCUAGCUGGUCUGAGAGGAUGACCAGCCACACUGGAACUGAGACACGGUCCAGACUCCUACGGGAGGCAGCAGUGGGGAAUAUUGCACAAUGGGCGCAAGCCUGAUGCAGCCAUGCCGCGUGUAUGAAGAAGGCCUUCGGGUUGUAAAGUACUUUCAGCGGGGAGGAAGGUGUUGUGGUUAAUAACCGCAGCAAUUGACGUUACCCGCAGAAGAAGCACCGGCUAACUCCGUGCCAGCAGCCGCGGUAAUACGGAGGGUGCAAGCGUUAAUCGGAAUUACUGGGCGUAAAGCGCACGCAGGCGGUCUGUCAAGUCGGAUGUGAAAUCCCCGGGCUCAACCUGGGAACUGCAUUCGAAACUGGCAGGCUUGAGUCUUGUAGAGGGGGGUAGAAUUCCAGGUGUAGCGGUGAAAUGCGUAGAGAUCUGGAGGAAUACCGGUGGCGAAGGCGGCCCCCUGGACAAAGACUGACGCUCAGGUGCGAAAGCGUGGGGAGCAAACAGGAUUAGAUACCCUGGUAGUCCACGCCGUAAACGAUGUCUACUUGGAGGUUGUGCCCUUGAGGCGUGGCUUCCGGAGCUAACGCGUUAAGUAGACCGCCUGGGGAGUACGGCCGCAAGGUUAAAACUCAAAUGAAUUGACGGGGGCCCGCACAAGCGGUGGAGCAUGUGGUUUAAUUCGAUGCAACGCGAAGAACCUUACCUGGUCUUGACAUCCACGGAAGAAUUCAGAGAUGGAUUUGUGCCUUCGGGAACCGUGAGACAGGUGCUGCAUGGCUGUCGUCAGCUCGUGUUGUGAAAUGUUGGGUUAAGUCCCGCAACGAGCGCAACCCUUAUCCUUUGUUGCCAGCGGUCCGGCCGGGAACUCAAAGGAGACUGCCAGUGAUAAACUGGAGGAAGGUGGGGAUGACGUCAAGUCAUCAUGGCCCUUACGACCAGGGCUACACACGUGCUACAAUGGCGCAUACAAAGAGAAGCGACCUCGCGAGAGCAAGCGGACCUCAUAAAGUGCGUCGUAGUCCGGAUUGGAGUCUGCAACUCGACUCCAUGAAGUCGGAAUCGCUAGUAAUCGUGGAUCAGAAUGCCACGGUGAAUACGUUCCCGGGCCUUGUACACACCGCCCGUCACACCAUGGGAGUGGGUUGCAAAAGAAGUAGGUAGCUUAACCUUCGGGAGGGCGCUUACCACUUUGUGAUUCAUGACUGGGGUGAAGUCGUAACAAGGUAACCGUAGGGGAACCUGCGGUUGGAUCACCUCCUU
This 1534-nucleotide ribosomal RNA is filed under the name Salmonella enterica subsp. enterica serovar Schwarzengrund str. CVM19633. Its description in RNAcentral is "bacterial SSU rRNA". It matches the Rfam family "Bacterial small subunit ribosomal RNA". The record is from RNAcentral. Lineage: Bacteria; Pseudomonadati; Pseudomonadota; Gammaproteobacteria; Enterobacterales; Enterobacteriaceae.